GGGUUGUGAGGUUAAGCGACUAAGCGUACACGGUGGAUGCCCUGGCAGUCAGAGGCGAUGAAGGGCGUGCUAAUCUGCGAUAAGCGCCGGUAAGGUGAUAUGAACCGUUAUAACCGGCGAUACCCGAAUGGGGAAACCCAGUGUGAUUCGUCACACUAUCAUUAACUGAAUCCAUAGGUUAAUGAGGCGAACCGGGGGAACUGAAACAUCUAAGUACCCCGAGGAAAAGAAAUCAACCGAGAUUCCCCCAGUAGCGGCGAGCGAACGGGGAGGAGCCCAGAGCCUGAAUCAGCAUGUGUGUUAGUGGAAGCGUCUGGAAAGGCGCGCGAUACAGGGUGACAGCCCCGUACACAAAAGCGCAUAUGCUGUGAGCUCGAUGAGUAGGGCGGGACACGUGGUAUCCUGUCUGAAUAUGGGGGGACCAUCCUCCAAGGCUAAAUACUCCUGACUGACCGAUAGUGAACCAGUACCGUGAGGGAAAGGCGAAAAGAACCCCGGCGAGGGGAGUGAAAAAGAACCUGAAACCGUGUACGUACAAGCAGUGGGAGCCCCACCACUAAGCCAGUGGUGAACUCCACAUACGCAUCCUUUGCUGAGGAGACGGUUAACGGAGCGAAAGCGACGUUCAACCUCAAAAGAAGCAGAGGGGGCUUAGUGGUGGGGUGACUGCGUACCUUUUGUAUAAUGGGUCAGCGACUUAUAUUCUGUAGCAAGGUUAACUGUAUAGGGGAGCCGGAGGGAAACCGAGUCUUAACCGGGCGUUAAGUUGCAGGGUAUAGACCCGAAACCCGGUGAUCUAGCCAUGGGCAGGUUGAAGGUUGGGUAACACUAACUGGAGGACCGAACCGACUAAUGUUGAAAAAUUAGCGGAUGACCUGUGGCUGGGGGUGAAAGGCCAAUCAAACCGGGAGAUAGCUGGUUCUCCCCGAAAGCUAUUUAGGUAGCGCCUCGUGAAUUCAUCUCCGGGGGUAGAGCACUGUUUCGGCUAGGGGGCCAUCCCGGCUUACCAACCCGAUGCAAACUGCGAAUACCGGAGAAUGUUAUCACGGGAGACACACGGCGGGUGCUAAUGUCCGUCGUGAAGAGGGAAACAACCCAGACCGCCAGCUAAGGUCCCAAAGUCAUGGUUAAGUGGGAAACGAUGUGGGAAGGCCCAGACAGCCAGGAUGUUGGCUUAGAAGCAGCCAUCAUUUAAAGAAAGCGUAAUAGCUCACUGGUCGAGUCGGCCUGCGCGGAAGAUGUAACGGGGCUAAACCAUGCACCGAAGCUGCGGCAGCGACACCGUGUGUUGUUGGGUAGGGGAGCGUUCUGUAAGCCUGUGAAGGUGUGCUGUGAGGCAUGCUGGAGGUAUCAGAAGUGCGAAUGCUGACAUAAGUAACGAUAAAGCGGGUGAAAAGCCCGCUCGCCGGAAGACCAAGGGUUCCUGUCCAACGUUAAUCGGGGCAGGGUGAGUCGACCCCUAAGGCGAGGCCGAAAGGCGUAGUCGAUGGGAAACGGGUUAAUAUUCCCGUACUUGGUGUUACUGCGAAGGGGGGACGGAGAAGGCUAUGUUGGCCGGGCGACGGUUGUCCCGGUUUAAGCGUGUAGGUAUGUGUUCCAGGUAAAUCCGGUUCACUUUAACACUGAGGCGUGACGACGAGGCACUACGGUGCUGAAGCAACAAAUGCCCUGCUUCCAGGAAAAGCCUCUAAGCAUCAGGUAACAUCAAAUCGUACCCCAAACCGACACAGGUGGUCAGGUAGAGAAUACCAAGGCGCUUGAGAGAACUCGGGUGAAGGAACUAGGCAAAAUGGUGCCGUAACUUCGGGAGAAGGCACGCUGACACGUAGGUGAAGUGAUUUACUCACGGAGCUGAAGUCAGCCGAAGAUACCAGCUGGCUGCAACUGUUUAUUAAAAACACAGCACUGUGCAAACACGAAAGUGGACGUAUACGGUGUGACGCCUGCCCGGUGCCGGAAGGUUAAUUGAUGGGGUCAGCGCAAGCGAAGCUCCUGAUCGAAGCCCCGGUAAACGGCGGCCGUAACUAUAACGGUCCUAAGGUAGCGAAAUUCCUUGUCGGGUAAGUUCCGACCUGCACGAAUGGCGUAAUGAUGGCCAGGCUGUCUCCACCCGAGACUCAGUGAAAUUGAACUCGCUGUGAAGAUGCAGUGUACCCGCGGCAAGACGGAAAGACCCCGUGAACCUUUACUAUAGCUUGACACUGAACAUUGAGCCUUGAUGUGUAGGAUAGGUGGGAGGCUU
Molecule: ribosomal RNA, 2242 nt
Filed under: Salmonella enterica
Lineage: Bacteria; Pseudomonadati; Pseudomonadota; Gammaproteobacteria; Enterobacterales; Enterobacteriaceae
Also listed under: 3 other names
Description: partial 23S ribosomal RNA
Rfam family: Bacterial large subunit ribosomal RNA
Source: RNAcentral